This 614-nucleotide ribosomal RNA is filed under the name uncultured bacterium. RNAcentral's name for it is "bacterial SSU rRNA". It matches the Rfam family "Bacterial small subunit ribosomal RNA", at positions 221 to 852 of the family's 1533-position model. The record is from RNAcentral.
UGAGAUGGCCUCGCGUCCGAUUAGCUGGUUGGUGAGGUAACGGCCCACCAAGGCGACGAUCGGUAGCCGGACUGAGAGGUUGAACGGCCACAUUGGGACUGAGACACGGCCCAGACUCCUACGGGAGGCAGCAGUGGGGAAUAUUGCACAAUGGGGGAAACCCUGAUGCAGCGACGCCGCGUGGAGGAAGAAGGUCUUCGGAUUGUAAACUCCUGUUGUUGGGGAAAAGAAGGAUGGUACCCAACAAGGAAGUGACGGCUAACUACGUGCCAGCAGCCGCGGUAAAACGUAGGUCACGAGCGUUGUCCGGAAUUACUGGGUGUAAAGGGAGCGCAGGCGGGUAUGCAAGUUGGGAGUGAAAUACAUGGGCUCAACCCAUGAACUGCUCUCAAAACUGUGUAUCUUGAGUAGUGCAGAGGUAGGCGGAAUUCCCGGUGUAGCGGUGGAAUGCGUAGAUAUCGGGAGGAACACCAGUGGCGAAGGCGGCCUACUGGGCACCAACUGACGCUGAGGCUCGAAAGUGUGGGUAGCAAACAGGAUUAGAUACCCUGGUAGUCCACACCGUAAACGAUGAUUACUAGGUGUUGGAGGAUAGACCCCUUCAGUGCCGCAGU